Molecule: ribosomal RNA, 250 nt
Filed under: uncultured prokaryote
Description: partial 16S ribosomal RNA
Rfam family: Bacterial small subunit ribosomal RNA
Source: RNAcentral
UACGGAGGAUGCGAGCGUUAUCCGGAUUUAUUGGGUUUAAAGGGUGCGUAGGCGGUACGGCAAGCGUGAGGUGAAAUGCCGCUGCUCAACUGCGGAACUGCCUCGCGAACUGUCGUUCUGGAAUGCUCCUGCCGCGGGAGGAAUGUGUGGUGUAGCGGUGAAAUGCAUAGAUAUCACACAGAACACCGAUUGCGAAGGCAUCUCGCGAAGGGGUUAUUGACGCUGUGGCACGAAAGCGCGGGGAGCGAAC